This 253-nucleotide ribosomal RNA is filed under the name uncultured bacterium. RNAcentral's name for it is "partial 16S ribosomal RNA". It matches the Rfam family "Bacterial small subunit ribosomal RNA", at positions 524 to 776 of the family's 1533-position model. The record is from RNAcentral.
GACGUAGGGCGCGAGCGUUGUCCGGAUUUAUUGGGCGUAAAGAGCUCGUAGGCGGCUUGUCGCGUCGUCCGUGAAAACCCACAGCUCAACUGUGGGCUUGCGGUCGAUACGGGCAGGCUAGAGUUCGGUAGGGGAGACUGGAAUUCCUGGUGUAGCGGUGAAAUGCGCAGAUAUCAGGAGGAACACCGGUGGCGAAGGCGGGUCUCUGGGCCGACACUGACGCUGAGGCGCGAAAGCCAGGGGAGCGAACGGG